This 2313-nucleotide ribosomal RNA is filed under the name Triticum aestivum (bread wheat). RNAcentral's name for it is "partial small subunit ribosomal RNA". Lineage: Eukaryota; Viridiplantae; Streptophyta; Magnoliopsida; Poales; Poaceae. The record is from RNAcentral.
UCCCCAGCCCCAAUUAUAGAAGAUGGUGAAGCAAAUGAUGAAGUUCAACUUGAAGUAGAUUUGGAAGCACUUGAGCUAGAUCCCGGGAAACGGAUCCCCAUCUCUAGGUACAAUGUCAAUGACCAGGAUAAAGUUAGAAGGAGAUACAUCGAGUUGGGGGCAUGUCAACCAAAGAAACAUAAUUUUGAGUAAAGAGACAUAAGUGGAUUACAACGCCGCUUUUGUCCUUCUUGGUUUAAGGAUUACAAGUGGCUUGAGUAUAGUGUGGACAAAGAGGCUGCUUUCUGCUUUGUUUGCUAUUUGUUCAAGGAUAAAACAAAAAGCCCCGAUGGAGAUUCAUUUGUUAAGGGUGGGUUUAGAAACUGGAACAUGAAAGCAAGAUUGACAAGGCAUGUUGGUGAUGUAAGUAGUGCUCACGUUGAAGCUCAAGAGAAGUAUGAUAUGUUCACUACACCACAAACAUCAAUUCGGGAGUCUGUUGCUUCCAACACCUCACAAUACAAGGCUUUGUAUAAACAACGUUUGACAUGGACACUCAAGUGUGUGAGAUUUCUGUUGCGCCAAGGCUUGGAAUUUAGAGGACAUGAUGAAAGUGAAGACUCACUAAAUAAAGGAAAUUUCCUUGAGCUUCUAAAUUGGCUAGCAGGAAAUUUUGAAGAGGUUGACAGGGUUAUUCUCAAGAAUGCUCCACGAAACUACAAGAUGACUCGCCAUGAUAUACAACAAGAGGUGAUAAAAUGUUGUGCACAAGAGACUACUAAACUAGUCAUUGAAGAACUUGAUGGUGGUCAUUUUGCAAUACUUGCAGAUGAGUCUAGUGAUGUGUAUCAGAAUGGACAGUUGGUUGUUUGCUUGCGUUAUGUUGAUAAGAAAGGAAGGGCGGUUGUAAGUUUUCUUGGUCUUGCUCAUGUUGAAGAUAGUACCUCUCAGACACUAAAAGCUGCAAUUCAGAAAAUGCUUAUGGACUACAAUUUGACCUUUGCAAUGGUUCGUGUGCAAGGAUAUGAUGGAGCUAGUAACACGAGAGGUAAUGCUAAUGGCCUGAAAAAACUGAUUAUGGAUGAGUCCCCUUCUGCCUACUAUGUUCAUUGUUUUGCCCAUCAACUACAAUUAACUCUUGUUGCUGUUGCUAAGGAGAGUGGUGAUUGUACUUGGUUCUUUCAGCAGCUUGCACACUUGUUAAAUGCUCUUGGCAUGUCUUGUAAAAGGAUGAGAAUGCUUCGGAUAGCUCAGGCUGAAGAACUCAUUGAUGCAUUGGAAUUGGAAGAAGUAGAAACAUGGAGUGGGCUGAAUCAGGAAAUGGGUUUGGGAAGGCCAUGUGAUACACGUUGGGGCUCUCACUUCAAAACUGUGAACCAUGUCAUCUCUAUGUAUGGUGCACUACAACGAGUCCUUCGCAAGAUUGGAGACGAGUACCAUGGUGCGGAGGCACAAGCGGCUCUAUCCAUAGAUACAAUAUUUCGAUCAUUUGAGUUUGUUUUCAUGGCACACUUGAUGCAAGAAAUAUUUGGAUACACAGAUCAGUUGUGUAGAGCUUUGCAAAAGCAAGACGAAGAUAUUGUUCAUGCUAUUGAGCUUGUUGCUGACACAAAGUAUUACUUGGAGGUUUUGAGGACCGAUGCUGGAUGGGAUGAUUUUCUCACAAAGGUCACAUCUUUUUGUACAAAGCAUAAGAUCAAAGUUGUUGAUAUGGAGGCAGUGGCAGCGCCAGGCCAGCCUAGAAGGGGUUUAUGUAAUGGUGUGAUCAAUUACCACCGCUUCAAGGUUGAUAUGUUUGUGGGUGUCAUUGAUAGGCAAAUCAGUGAGCUGAAUGGCAGAUUUGAUGAGGUAAACACAGAGCUACUUUCUUGCAUGGCAGCAUUCUGUCCACUUCAUCUAUUUGCUGCUUAUGUCCAACAUAAGUUGGUUAGGCUUGCUACAAAGUUUUAUGCUUCUGAUUUUACAAGUGAUGAACUGGCAAGACUUCCAUGGCAACUAAACAUGUAUGUUAUUAAUGUGCGUAGAGAUGAAAGGUUUCAAAACCUGAAAACCGUGUCAGCUUCAGUUAUGCUUGUUGAGACAAACAAGCAUGAACAAUAUCAUAUUGUUUACAAGCUUCUUAAGUUGAUAUUGAUUCUGCCAGUAGCUACUGCUAGUGUUGAAAGGGUCUUCUCUUCAAUGAGCCAUGUGAAGAAUAAGCUAAGGAACAAAAUGGGUGAUGAAUAUUUGAACAAUUGUUUGGUUACAUUUGUUGAGAGAGAAUUUUUCAAUCAAGUGAAGGAUGAAGAUGUCAUCAAUCUCUUCCAAAAAGGCGACCGCAAAGUUAUAUUGUAA